This 1258-nucleotide ribosomal RNA is filed under the name uncultured bacterium. RNAcentral describes it as "bacterial SSU rRNA". It matches the Rfam family "Bacterial small subunit ribosomal RNA", at positions 92 to 1366 of the family's 1533-position model. The record is from RNAcentral.
UUAGUGGCGGACGGGCGAGUAACGCGUGAGUAACCUGCCUCUUAGAGGGGGAUAACGUUCUGAAAAGGACGCUAAUACCGCAUAUUAUUAUUAAGUCGCAUGACUUGAUAAUGAAAGGAGCAAUCCGCUAAGAGAUGGACUCGCGUCUGAUUAGCUAGAUGGUGGGGUAACGGCUCACCAUGGCGACGAUCAGUAGCCGGACUGAGAGGUUGAACGGCCACAUUGGGACUGAGACACGGCCCAGACUCCUACGGGAGGCAGCAGUGGGGGAUAUUACGCAAUGGGGGAAACCCUGACGUAGCAAUGCCGCGUGAAGGAUGAAGGUUUUCGGAUUGUAAACUUCUUUUGUUAAGGACGAUAAUGACGGUACUUAACGAAUAAGCUCCGGCUAACUAUGUGCCAGCAGCCGCGGUAAUACAUAGGGAGCAAGCGUUAUCCGGAUUUACUGGGUGUAAAGGGUGCGUAGGCGGCAAGGCAAGUCAGAUGUGAAAUCUAUGGGUUUAACCCAUAGCCUGCAUUUGAAACUGUUUUGCUUGAGUGAAGUAGAGGCAGGCGGAAUUCCCGGUGUAGCGGUGAAAUGCGUAGAGAUCGGGAGGAACACCAGUGGCGAAGGCGGCCUGCUGGGCUUUAACUGACGCUGAGGCACGAAAGCGUGGGUAGCAAACAGGAUUAGAUACCCUGGUAGUCCACGCUGUAAACGAUGUUUCUUAGGGGGGGGGUGGACUACCCCCCUCCCUCCCCCCAGUUAACACAAUAAGUAAUCCACCUGGGGAGUACGACCGCAAGGUUGAAACUCAAAGGGAAUUGACGGGGGCCCGCACAAGGCAGUGGAGUAUGUGGUUUAAUUCGAAGCAACGCGAAGAACCUUACCAGGUCUUGACAUCCAACUAACGAAGUAGAGAUGCAUUAGGUGCCCUUCGGGGAAAGUAGAGACAGGUGGUGCAUGGUUGUCGUCAGCUCGUGUCGUGAGAUGUUGGGUUAAGUCCCGCAACGAGCGCAACCCUUAUUGUUAGUUGCUACGCAAGAGCACUCUAGCGAGGCUGCCGUUGACAAAACGGAGGAAGGCGGGGACGACGUCAAAUCAUCAUGCCCCUUAUGUCCCGGGCUACACACGUAAUACAAUGGCGGUCAACAGAGGGAAGCAAAGCCGCGAGGCAGAGCAAACCCCUAAAAGCCGUCCCAGUUCGGAUUGCAGGCUGCAACUCGCCUGCAUGAAGUUGGAAUUGCUAGUAAUCGCGGAUCAGCAUGCCGCGGUGAA